RNAcentral lists this ribosomal RNA (425 nucleotides) under bacterium. RNAcentral describes it as "partial 16S ribosomal RNA". It matches the Rfam family "Bacterial small subunit ribosomal RNA", at positions 355 to 776 of the family's 1533-position model. The record is from RNAcentral.
UGGGGAAUAUUGCACAAUGGGCGCAAGCCUGAUGCAGCGACGCCGCGUGAGGGAUGGAGGCCUUCGGGUUGUAAACCUCUUUCGCCAGUGAAGCAGGCCAUCUUCUUUGUGGGGUGGUUGACGGUAGCUGGAUAAGAAGCGCCGGCUAACUACGUGCCAGCAGCCGCGGUAAUACGUAGGGCGCGAGCGUUGUCCGGAAUUAUUGGGCGUAAAGAGCUCGUAGGCGGCUGGUCGCGUCUGUCGUGAAAUCCCCUGGCUUAACUGGGGGCGUGCGGUGGGUACGGGCAGGCUUGAGUGCGGUAGGGGAGACUGGAAUUCCUGGUGUAGCGGUGGAAUGCGCAGAUAUCAGGAGGAACACCGGUGGCGAAGGCGGGUCUCUGGGCCGUUACUGACGCUGAGGAGCGAAAGCGUGGGGAGCGAACAGG